GUUUUAAUAGUUUAAAAAAAAUUUAGGUUUUGUAAUCCUAAGAUAAUGUUAAUUUUAAAACU
This 62-nucleotide transfer RNA is filed under the name Tettigotoma maculata. Its description in RNAcentral is "tRNA-Thr". The record is from RNAcentral. Lineage: Eukaryota; Metazoa; Arthropoda; Insecta; Hemiptera; Cicadidae.